This 482-nucleotide ribosomal RNA is filed under the name uncultured bacterium. RNAcentral's name for it is "partial 16S ribosomal RNA". It matches the Rfam family "Bacterial small subunit ribosomal RNA", at positions 28 to 507 of the family's 1533-position model. The record is from RNAcentral.
GACGAACGCUGGCGGCGUGCUUAACACAUGCAAGUCGAACGAUGAAGAAGAGAAACGCGAACUUCGGUUCAAAUUUCACUUCGGAUUAGUGGCAGACGGGUGAGUAACGCGUGAGCAGCCUACCUCUUACAAAGGGAUAGCCUCGGGAAACCGUGAUUAAUACCAUAUGACACAUUCAUAAGGCAUCUUAAGAAUGUUAAAGCUACGGCGGUAAGAGAUGGGCUCGCGUCCCAUUAGCUAGUUGGUGAGGUAACGGCCCACCAAGGCGACGAUGGGUAACCGGCCUGAGAGGGUGAACGGUCACAUUGGAACUGAGACACGGUCCAAACUCCUACGGGAGGCAGCAGUGGGGAAUAUUGCACAAUGGAGGGAACUCUGAUGCAGCGACGCCGCGUGAGCGAUGAAGGAAUUCGUUUCGUAAAGCUCUGUUCUAUGGGAAGAAAAGGACUGUACCAUAGGAGAAAGCCCCGGCUAAAUACGUG